UGAAUUGUUUAGUCCACCUGAGAUAUUUUUCCAUUAAGAACCUCCCAAGUUAAAAUACUUGGCUGCUUACAAAAAAAUGUAGAGCAGAAGUUUACAAAUUCUUGCUUGCUAUCUCUACUACUUUGUUCUUCAGUUCUCAGUGUUUGGAUACAUUGAAAUGUAAAUUAUAAUGUGAAUAUAUACUACUACAAACUAGGAUAGCCUGUAAAAGCAUAAUCCUACUCCUUUUUUUAACAGUUACAAAUAUAGAAAUUUUUUGGACUUGAUAGUACUUUUGGCAGCUUGAAACUCUUGUUGCUUUGCUAGAAAUGAUAGGCUUCGAGGUUCUUAAUAUUUGACUAAACAGCUUUUGGUUUAGCUUCCAAAACUGGUGCAGCACCUUUCACAUCAACCCAUGUGUUUUUUGUCAUUUACUUGACUUGUAGCUGUCAAUUGGUAGUCAUCAAUUGCUAGUAAGAGUUCAGACGUCGAUAGCUUCUUGAAUUACCAAUCGAUAGCAUUACUAGAUUAGCCAUUGAUGAAAUUGAUGUAGCGGUUGAUAGCUUGUUUAUUCAGCCGUUGAUGCUUCUGAUUAGCAAUCGAUCUUCACUUCACUUGUACAGAUUACAUGACUUCAAAUAUUUCAAUUAUGUCAUCAUGUCUAUACAUCUAUUAAUAGAACAAUCAAAGCAAUAAUACAAUAAACGGCCAUGAGGUAGUAUGAUCACUUUCUAAUAUCAUAUGCAUAUGCUACUUAUCUAAAUCGGAUUAUCUUCAUUGGUAAAACAGAGCUUUCAGCACGUCAAAAAUAUAUAUAUCAGAGCAAUUUAAAACUUCGUAGAUUAAUUAUAACCUAGUUUGAUAAUGUUGAAUUAACCAAUUAUUUUGUAAUUUAGCUCAGUUAGUAAAUGAAUCCUGAGGAUAGGAAUUUUAAUUGAUUGACAUAGUUUCCCUCCUAAGAUUUCAUAAUGUAGUUAUAUCUUCGCUUACUCAAGAUAUACAGAGUACAUCUAUUCACCUAGUCUAGGUGCAACAAUGUGCCGUUUCUUGUGUCAUAUGAGGUGCACGCAAAAAUGACAAGCACAAUGGAGGCGUAAAAUAAUCCGAGGACAGAUCAUAUGUAUUUACAAUGAAAGAAUUAUUCGUGCCUUUCCAAUACAAUGCAUAUGAUUGUGUGCGAGGCCUUUGGCCGGUAGGAUACUGUAUACAGGAGUCUGUUAAACAAUACGCAUCUUAUUUAAAAAAAAUUAAAACACCAACUUACAACGAAAACCAAGUCAUUACUGACCUAAUAGUAGAGUUAGGAAUUUCACAAUUCUAGUAUGUCGGCUACAUAAAUCCUCAAUUUACAGGUUUUUAGUUAUGGUGAGGCAAAACAACCUUCUUAGGAAAAUAUGUUGUACCAUUAGGGCGAGCACCCUUCAUAUUGAGGAUCGUCAACCAAAUUGUAAAUCUGAAAAUUUCCAAAGAAGACACUUUGACUCUCAGCUGCCAUAUCACUAAAUUCUAAACACAAUAUCACUACUUUGAACAACCCCGCCUCCACGUCCAUCUUCUCUUACUUUUCCUCCAUUCCCGGCAACACCAUGGCCUUAAACUCUAAUCUCACUUUCGAGAACUCACCACUCGUGUUCUUUGAAAAUCCGAAAACCUAACAAAAAGCUUUCCUCGAGGUCACACUAUAUUUAUCGGGGCUAUUUCAGCAAAAGCCUCUCAUUUAUUACUCCUCUAACAACAAUCAUAAAAGCUUUUCUCUACUAAUUUUUUCUGAAACUAACUUACUAAAUAUAAAUUGAUAUAUCUAAUCCGUUGUUUAUGAAAUAUAAUCAACCCUAUCCUUUUCCCUUCAAAAUGUUACUUCCAAGAUCAUACAAUAAAUUAAUCUUUGGAUAAUUUUCUAAACUUUUCUACAACAUUAUAUCUUGUAAGACCAUAUUAAGAAGAUAACGGCUUGUUUGAAAGUAGAGUUUUGAGAAAAACAUACAGAUUUGGAUCAUAUUAGGGCCUUAUUUGUUUAGCGGGAUUCAUAAUUACACAGGAACUCGUUGUUACUUAAAAGUAGGUUACAAUGUGUAGUUGUUUUGAAACUGAAAAUACAGUGUUUUUUGGUUGAUACUAUAUACUAAAUAUGUAAUUAUAUAAUUUUGACAAUUUAGAUAAUAAAAUUAAUAUAUUUUAGGUAUAUAAAUGAAAUAAAAUGAUUUGGUAUGUAAUAUUAACAUGAACUAAUAUGAAUUUUAACAUAGUAUAAAAAGAAAAAAAAUGAGAUUUAUAAAUAUAAAACAAUAUUUAGAUGAGACAAUAUAUUAAUAUAAUAUUAGUAAUAUCUAAAUAAAAGCAAAUAAAAUAUAGAACAAAAUUUACGUUGCAAAGUUUAAGCUGGGAAAUAAAUAUAAAUUUUAUAAGAUGGAUAAAUUGUUAAUGUAAAAUACACAUAUAUAAUAAAGGUCAUGUUUAAGAAAGAACCAUUAGACAGAGAAUCCUGAGAACCCUUACCUUAUUUCUAGUAUUCGUUAGGACUUGUAGCAGUACUGCACAUGAAAAAAAUGUCUUAUUUAUGUAUAAUAUUUUGAAAUCACUUCUGAACACACACAACGAUGCCAAAAAACAUGUAUUUAGAUUUAGAUCCUAAAAAUCUAUGUAAAAUAUAGGG
This 2632-nucleotide long non-coding RNA is filed under the name Daucus carota (carrot). RNAcentral's name for it is "long non-coding RNA (DCAR_LNC005434)". Lineage: Eukaryota; Viridiplantae; Streptophyta; Magnoliopsida; Apiales; Apiaceae. The record is from RNAcentral.